RNAcentral lists this ribosomal RNA (453 nucleotides) under Acanthamoeba castellanii. Its description in RNAcentral is "SSU rRNA". It matches the Rfam family "Eukaryotic small subunit ribosomal RNA", at positions 753 to 1094 of the family's 1831-position model. The record is from RNAcentral. Lineage: Eukaryota; Discosea; Longamoebia; Acanthamoebidae.
UACCGUGAAAAAAUUAGAGUGUUCAAAGCAGGCAGAUCCAAUUUUCUGCCACCGAAUACAUUAGCAUGGGAUAAUGGAAUAGGACCCUGUCCUCCUAUUUUCAGUUGGUUUUGGCAGCGCGAGGACUAGGGUAAUGAUUAAUAGGGAUAGUUGGGGGCAUUAAUAUUUAAUUGUCAGAGGUGAAAUUCUUGGAUUUAUGAAAGAUUAACUUCUGCGAAAGCAUCUGCCAAGGAUGUUUUCAUUAAUCAAGAACGAAAGUUAGGGGAUCGAAGACGAUCAGAUACCGUCGUAGUCUUAACCAUAAACGAUGCCGACCAGCGAUUAGGAGACGUUGAAUACAAAACACCACCAUCGGCGCGGUCGUCCUUGGCGUCUCGGUCCUUCACGGGGCCGGGGCGCGGGGGCGGCUUAGCCCGGUGGCACCGGUGAAUGACUCCCCUAGCAGCUUGUGAG